UGCCUACCAUGCAGUCGAACGAUGCUUUCGGGCAUAGUGGCGCACGGGUGCGUAACGCGUGGGAAUCUGCCCUUAGGUUCGGAAUAACAGUUAGAAAUGACUGCUAAUACCGGAUGAUGACGUUAAGUCCAAAGAUUUAUCGCCUGAGGAUGAGCCCGCGUAGGAUUAGCUAGUUGGUGUGGUAAAGGCGCACCAAGGCGACGAUCCUUAGCUGGUCUGAGAGGAUGAUCAGCCACACUGGGACUGAGACACGGCCCAGACUCCUACGGGAGGCAGCAGUGGGGAAAUAUUGGACAAUGGGCGCAAGCCUGAUCCAGCGAUGCCGCGUGAGUGAUGAAGGCCUUAGGGUUGUAAAGCUCUUUUACCCGAGAUGAUAAUGACAGUAUCGGGAGGAUAAGCCCCGGCUAACUCCGUGCCAGCAGCCGCGGUAAUACGGAGGGGGCUAGCGUUGUUCGGAAUUACUGGGCGUAAAGCGCACGUAGGCGGCUUUUGUAAGUUAAAGGUGAAAGCCGGAGCUCACUCCAGAACUGCCUUUUAAGACUGCAUCGCUUGGAUCCAGGAGAGGUGAGUGGAAUUCCGAAGUGUAGAGGUGAAAUUCGUAAAUAUCGGAAGAACACCGUGGCGAAGGCGGCUCACUGGACUGGUAUUGACGCUGAGGUGCGAAAGCGUGGGGA
RNAcentral lists this ribosomal RNA (674 nucleotides) under uncultured bacterium. RNAcentral's name for it is "bacterial SSU rRNA". It matches the Rfam family "Bacterial small subunit ribosomal RNA", at positions 45 to 767 of the family's 1533-position model. The record is from RNAcentral.